GCCGGUGUGGCGGAAUGGUAGACGCGGCGGACUUAAAAUCCUCUGUCCGUAAGGGCGUGCCGGUUCGAAUCCGGCCACCGGUA
This 83-nucleotide transfer RNA is filed under the name Abditibacteriaceae bacterium. RNAcentral's name for it is "Abitibacteriaceae bacterium (rhizosphere metagenome) tRNA-Leu". It matches the Rfam family "tRNA". Rfam says of the family: Transfer RNA (tRNA) molecules are approximately 80 nucleotides in length. Their secondary structure includes four short double-helical elements and three loops (D, anti-codon, and T loops). Lineage: Bacteria; Pseudomonadati; Abditibacteriota; Abditibacteriia; Abditibacteriales; Abditibacteriaceae. The record is from RNAcentral.